RNAcentral lists this ribosomal RNA (478 nucleotides) under uncultured soil bacterium. RNAcentral describes it as "bacterial SSU rRNA". It matches the Rfam family "Bacterial small subunit ribosomal RNA", at positions 26 to 508 of the family's 1533-position model. The record is from RNAcentral.
AGAUUGAACGCUGGCGGCAUGCCUAACACAUGCAAGUCGAACGGGAGUAGCAAUACUCUAGUGGCGGACGGGUGAGGAAUACGUAGGAAUUUGCCCUUAAGUGGGGGAUAACCCGGGGAAACCCGGAUUAAUACCGCAUGACCUCGAAAGAGCAAAGUGGGGGAUCGCAAGACCUCACGCUUUUGGAGAAGCCUACGUCAGAUUAGCUAGUUGGUGAGGUAAUGGCUCACCAAGGCGACGAUCCGUAACUGGUCUGAGAGGAUGAUCAGUCACACCGGAACUGAGACACGGUCCGGACUCCUACGGGAGCAGCAGUGGGGAAUAUUGGACAAUGGGCGCAAGCCUGAUCCAGCAAUGCCGCGUGUGUGAAGAGCUUCGGUUGUAAGCACUUUAAGUUAGGGAAGAAAAACGUACGACGUACUAACACAGUGAGUCUUAGACGUACCGAACAGAAUAAGACACCGGACUAACGUACUGU